RNAcentral lists this ribosomal RNA (689 nucleotides) under uncultured Pseudomonadota bacterium. Its description in RNAcentral is "bacterial SSU rRNA". It matches the Rfam family "Bacterial small subunit ribosomal RNA", at positions 41 to 719 of the family's 1533-position model. Lineage: Bacteria; Pseudomonadati; Pseudomonadota. The record is from RNAcentral.
GGCAGGCCUAACACAUGCAAGUCGAACGGUAACAGAAAGCAGCUUGCUGCUUUGCUGACGAGUGGCGGACGGGUGAGUAAUGUCUGGGAAACUGCCUGAUGGAGGGGGAUAACUAUUGGAAACGGUAGCUAAUACCGCAUAACGUCGCAAGACCAAAGAGGGGGACCUUCGGGCCUCUUGCCAUCGGAUGUGCCCAGAUGGGAUUAGCUAGUAGGUGGGGUAAAGGCUCACCUAGGCGACGAUCCCUAGCUGGUCUGAGAGGAUGACCAGCCACACUGGAACUGAGACACGGUCCAGACUCCUACGGGAGGCAGCAGUGGGGAAUAUUGCACAAUGGGCGCAAGCCUGAUGCAGCCAUGCCGCGUGUAUGAAGAAGGCCUUCGGGUUGUAAAGUACUUUCAGCGGGGAGGAAGGGAGUAAAGUUAAUACCUUUGCUCAUUGACGUUACCCGCAGAAGAAGCACCGGCUAACUCCGUGCCAGCAGCCGCGGUAAUACGGAGGGUGCAAGCGUUAAUCGGAAUUACUGGGCGUAAAGCGCACGCAGGCGGUUUGUUAAGUCAGAUGUGAAAUCCCCGGGCUCAACCUGGGAACUGCAUCUGAUACUGGCAAGCUUGAGUCUCGUAGAGGGGGGUAGAAUUCCAGGUGUAGCGGUGAAAUGCGUAGAGAUCUGGAGGAAUACCGGUGGCGAA